UACGUAGGGUGCAAGCGUUGUCCGGAAUUAUUGGGCGUAAAGAGCUCGUAGGCGGUUUGUCGCGUCUGCUGUGAAAACUCGGGGCUUAACUCCGGGCCUGCAGUGGGUACGGGCAGACUAGAGUGCGGUAGGGGAGACUGGAAUUCUGGUGUAGCGGUGAAAUGCGCAGAUAUCAGGAGGAACACCGGUGGCGAAGGCGGGUCUCUGGGCCGUAACUGACGCUGAGGAGCGAAAGCGUGGGGAGCGAACAGG
This 252-nucleotide ribosomal RNA is filed under the name uncultured bacterium. RNAcentral describes it as "partial 16S ribosomal RNA". It matches the Rfam family "Bacterial small subunit ribosomal RNA", at positions 524 to 776 of the family's 1533-position model. The record is from RNAcentral.